ACAGUAAAUAGAGAGCCGUUAUAUUGACAGCGUACGAAAAUGUGACCGUUGGGCCACCCUUGUACGGCUUCACGUGGUCGGUGGUGGCCUCGGUUGAUUUUUCCUCAUAAAAUACUUUAUUUUUACACUCGGACCAUACCAGCCAAGCCAAGCUAAGCCACCAUAGCCAAUUUCUUACAAGUAAAAUCCUCUAAAGCUAAGCGCAAUGGGACCCCCCUCAAGGUGGGCGAGAGCUUUACGCUACUAGACGCGACUUUAAGAAAUAGGAGGUGAUCGCUUUGCUUUACUUCACUGGUCGCUUUCCUUUGAAUUGCGACAUGGAAAAUGAAUGAAUCUCGCAAUCAGUCUUGUUCACGACACAAGUUUGAUCCAAUCCAUCCAUUCCAAGGUACCUCCACUGCAUAAUCUCCAUAGUUUAGAUUAGCGAAAGAGAAAGAGAGAGAGAGAGCUCUAAACAACACAUUUAUGGAUCUUCCGGACAAGCUUAUGAGCGCUGGGACACACUACCACUAGGCUAUACCAGAAAGAAGAAAAGAAGAAAAGGAAAAAGAGAGGCUUACAGAGAGUGUACUUGAGCUUACCUUGUAGGAGUAGCUCGUCGUUGGCGAUCUCUCAUGUUGGAUCGAUCGCUUGGCUCGAUCCGGUCAGCCUCUGCAAGUAGAACAAUCCAUGG
RNAcentral lists this long non-coding RNA (673 nucleotides) under Selaginella moellendorffii. RNAcentral describes it as "long non-coding RNA (SMOE_LNC001859)". Lineage: Eukaryota; Viridiplantae; Streptophyta; Lycopodiopsida; Selaginellales; Selaginellaceae. The record is from RNAcentral.